CACUGCCGAGAAAAGCCUCUAGAUAGAAAAUAGGUGCCCGUACCGCAAACCGACACAGGUAGUCAAGAUGAGAAUUCUAAGGUGAGCGAGCGAACUCUCGUUAAGGAACUCGGCAAAAUGACCCCGUAACUUCGGGAGAAGGGGUGCUCUUUAGGGUUAACGCCCAGAAGAGCCGCAGUGAAUAGGCCCAAGCGACUGUUUAUCAAAAACACAGGUCUCUGCUAAACCGUAAGGUGAUGUAUAGGGGCUGACGCCUGCCCGGUGCUGGAAGGUUAAGAGGAGUGGUUAGCUUCUGCGAAGCUACGAAUCGAAGCCCCAGUAAACGGCGGCCGUAACUAUAACGGUCCUAAGGUAGCGAAAUUCCUUGUCGGGUAAGUUCCGACCCGCACGAAAGGCGUAACGAUUUGGGCACUGUCUCAACGAGAGACUCGGUGAAAUCAUAGUACCUGUGAAGAUGCAGGUUACCCGCGACAGGACGGAAAGACCCCGUGGAGCUUUACUGUAGCCUGAUAUUGAAAUUCGGCACAGCUUGUACAGGAUAGGUAGGAGCCUUUGAAACGUGAGCGCUAGCUUACGUGGAGGCGCUGGUGGGAUACUACCCUAGCUGUGUUGGCUUUCUAACCCGCACCACUUAUCGUGGUGGGAGACAGUGUCAGGCGGGCAGUUUGACUGGGGCGGUCGCCUCCUAAAAGGUAACGGAGGCGCUCAAAGGUUCCCUCAGAAUGGUUGGAAAUCAUUCAUAGAGUGUAAAGGCAUAAGGGAGCUUGACUGCGAGACCUACAAGUCGAGCAGGGUCGAAAGACGGACUUAGUGAUCCGGUGGUUCCGCAUGGAAGGGCCAUCGCUCAACGGAUAAAAGCUACCCCGGGGAUAACAGGCUUAUCUCCCCCAAGAGUUCACAUCGACGGGGAGGUUUGGCACCUCGAUGUCGGCUCAUCGCAUCCUGGGGCUGUAGUCGGUCCCAAGGGUUGGGCUGUUCGCCCAUUAAAGCGGUACGCGAGCUGGGUUCAGAACGUCGUGAGACAGUUCGGUCCCUAUCCGUCGUGGGCGUAGGAAAUUUGAGAGGAGCUGUCCUUAGUACGAGAGGACCGGGAUGGACAUACCUCUGGUGUACCAGUUGUCGUGCCAACGGCAUAGCUGGGUAGCUAUGUGUGGACGGGAUAAGUGCUGAAAGCAUCUAAGCAUGAAGCCCCCCUCAAGAUGAGAUUUCCCAACUUCGGUUAUAAGAUCCCUCAAAGAUGAUGAGGUUAAUAGGUUCGAGGUGGAAGCAUGGUGACAUGUGGAGCUGACGAAUAC
This 1295-nucleotide ribosomal RNA is filed under the name Staphylococcus aureus. Its description in RNAcentral is "partial 23S ribosomal RNA". It matches the Rfam family "Bacterial large subunit ribosomal RNA", at positions 1603 to 2901 of the family's 2925-position model. RNAcentral also lists the same sequence under 1 other name. The record is from RNAcentral. Lineage: Bacteria; Bacillati; Bacillota; Bacilli; Caryophanales; Staphylococcaceae.